This 254-nucleotide ribosomal RNA is filed under the name uncultured bacterium. RNAcentral describes it as "partial 16S ribosomal RNA". It matches the Rfam family "Bacterial small subunit ribosomal RNA", at positions 524 to 776 of the family's 1533-position model. The record is from RNAcentral.
UACGGAGGGUGCAAGCGUUAUCCGGAAUCACUGGGUUUAAAGGGUGCGUAGGCGGUGGCGUAAGUCAGUUGUGAAAUUCCCCGGCUUAACCGGCGGGACUGCGAUUGAUACUGCGUUACUUGAAUCAGGUUGAGGUAGGCGGAAUGUGACAUGUAGCGGUGAAAUGCUUAGAUAUGACAUAGAACACCAAUUGCGAAGGCAGCUGGCUACAGGUGGAUUGACACUGAGGCACGAAAGCGUGGGGAUCAAACAGG